AAUAAGUGAAGUUGGUGAAAGACUUAAGGUACUCUCUCUCUCUCUCUCUCUCUCUCUCUCUGUGUUUGUGGUUGGUUGUUGGAUUGGGGCAAGCAGGUGGCUUGCAUGGAGUAAUAAGGUGGUUUUAGUUGAUAUUGGGAGUGUUGACUGUUUUGUGUAAUAUUGGAUGAUUCUUCUUGAGUUGUUUUUAUUUGAUUAGUUCAUUUUGGGGGCUUUUCUCUAUCUUUUUCACACAUGUGGAACACUAAAAUAGAAUUGAAUAUUUAAAGAGAUGUCCAUUCCUAAAGACUAUUGCUAGUAAUGAUGUUAUAGUUACCAAAUGUAUUGAUAACUUCUCUAUGCGUUUAAAUUCAUUGUUUUCUUAGGAACAUAGUUGAAAGUGAAUGAUUAAAGAUGAUUUGUUGGGAUUUGUAGGGGUUAUAACUGGUUUUUAAUGGGAAAUCAUCAUCUGCACAGACUUCUAUUGAAAUUCCUAAUAGUCAUGUCCAAAAAAACCCGAUAGAGUAUGCCGAUCUUCGUGACAUGUUGCAUGACAUGUUCCCCAUACAAGAUAUGGCAUUUGGGCCAAUGGAAGAAGUCCCUACUGUGCAACAACCCACAAAAUGUCCUGCAGAAGGUCCUAAUGAAGAUGCACUUCGGUUUAUGAAAUUGCUUGAAGAUGUUAAUCAACCUUGUUAUGAAGGUUGUAAGCAUUUUAGCAAAUUGUCAGCCAUUGUGCAUUUGUUCCACAUGAAGUGUCUUAAUGAUUAGACCAACAAAUCAUUUACCAUGUUGCUGCAAUUUUUUCUUGAUUUUCUUCCUUCAAAUGCUAAGUUGCUAAAAGAUUGUUAUGAGGCUAAGAAGAUUAUUAAAGAUUUGAGCUUGAGCUAUGAGAAGAUUCAUGCUUGUCCUAAAGAUUGUAUUUUAUAUUGGAAGGAGAAUGCUAAUCUUGAAGCUUGUCCAAAUUGUAACCUUUUAAGAUGUGAAAGUAAUGAGUCUAAAGGUUAACAAAGUACUAAUGCUUCCUCCAAGAAAAGAAAAAAGAAAGCUACAAAGAUCCGAUGGUGGUUCCCCUUAAAGCCAAGAUUGAAACGAUUAUUUAUGUCUCCUGAAACAGCGAAUCAUAUGAAGUGGCAUACCAAUGGUCGUGUGAAUGAUGAGUUAAUGAGGCAUCCUGCUAAUUAUGAAGCUUGGAAAUCAUUUGACUCUAAGUACAUAGAGUUCUUAUCCGAGCCUCAUAAUGUGAGGCUUGGAUUAGCAGCCGAUGGAUUCAACCCGUAUGGAAAUAUGAAUAAUACUUAUAGUACAUGGCCUGUCAUUUUGAUCCCAUACAAUCUCCCUCCAUGGAUAUGCAUGAAAAGGUCUUCUUUCAUGCUAUCAUUAUUGAUUUCUGGUCCAACCUCGCCUGGGAACGAUAUAGAUGUGUACUUACAACCCCUAGUAGAAGAAUUGAAGGAGUUAUGAGAUGUUGGAGUAGAAACGUUUGAUGUGUCUUCCAAAAAAUCAUUCCAAAUGCAUGCUGCAUUAUUGUGGACCAUAAGUAAUUUUCCUGCAUAUGGUGAUAUCUCGAGUUGAAGUACCAAAGGUGCUCUUGCAUGUCCCUCUUGUAACUAUGAUAGUUAGUCUUGUUGAUUAAGAUAUAGAAGGAAAUUUAGUUACAUUGAACAUAGACGAUUCUUGGAUAGUGAUCAUAAAUUCUGUAAGCAAAAAAAAAUCAUUUAAUGGGCAUGUUGAUACGAGAUCAGCUCCUAUUACAGUAUCCAGAGGGGAAAUCAUGUUAUAAAUGGAUGCUAUAGCUGAUCAUGUGUUUGGGAAGAAAAUAAUUAAUUUUCGCAAUAAAAGAAAAAGAGGGGAGAAAGCCUUAACUAUGUGGAAGAAGAGAAGUAUAUUUUUCACCUUACCUUAUUGGGAGGACUAUGUAUUGCGUCACAAUCUUGAUGCGAUGCAUAUUGAAAAGAAUGUAGUCAAUAAUAUAAUCGGCACAUUGUUGAACUUAGAUGGCAAGACAAAGGAUAACUUGAAGGCACGCCAAGACUUAAAGGAUAUGGGUAUAAGAAGUGAACUUCACUUGGAAAAGGUUGGGAAUGAUCAGACACGUAUGCCACAUGCCUACUACCAUAUGAAUGCUAGUGAACAAGAUAGUUCUUUGCAAGUUUUGAAAAAUGUAAGAGUGCCAGAUGGAUAUUCUUCAAACAUCUCACAUUGCGUUAAACUCAAAGAACUCAAGAUUAGAGGGAUGAAGAACCAUGAUAAUCACAUCUUAAUGCAGCAACUUUUUUUGAUAGCAAUACGUGGAUCUUUGCCCCCUGAGGUGAGUAGGCAUUUAAUUGACUUAUCUUGCUUAUUUAGGGAGAUAUGUUCCAAAGUACUAAAUGUGGAGGAACUUGGGGAUCUUGAGAAGAGAAUUGCAGUGACAUUGUGUGAGUUGGAAAGAAUAUUCCCUCCCUCUUUCUUUAUAGUGAUUGUACAUCUAGUCAUGCAUUUGGCUAGCAAAGACAAAGUUGCUGGUCUAGUUCAUAAUCGUUGGAUGUAUCCUAUAGAGAGGUAACACAUAUAGUAACUUGGUCUAUUUGGUUUUGUUUAACUUAUCAAUUUUCCGUUGUUGAUCUUGGGUUUUCCAAUAGGUACUUGUCAAGACUUAAGUCUUACAUGUAUAAUAAAACUUAUUCAGAAGGCUCCAUUGCAAAAAGGUAUAUAGCAGAGGAAUGCUUAGCAUUCUACUCACUCUAUUUUAAAUCUAUUGAAACUGCAUUCAAUUGGCUUGUAAGGAAUGUCGAGGAAUCCAUGGGUGUGGUGGUGAGCAUUACACUAGAUUCAAAUUCAUGGAUCCAAGAACUUCGUUAUGUGCUAUUCAAUUGUGAAGAAAUCAUCCCAUUUCUCGAUGUACACAUAACGGAGAUCAAGGUUGAUUUCUUUUUCAUGUAAUUUAUGAUGUUAUUCAAAAGCAGCACAUGGAGAAAUUCUGUAGCUGGUUUAGGGACUAUGUGAUGUCAAUCGAUGCCUUUGAGAAAAAGAAACUCUCUAAUAAAGUCAUAUGGCUUGCUCAAUAUCUAGAUAAUGAAGCAAAACAAUUCAAGCGUUAUGUUAUAAAUGGUUUGAAGUUUUGCACCAAAGAUUCUAAGGCAACUAGGAAAACUCAAAACAGUGGAGUUUGUGUUGUUACUGAAGGUGGUGCUACUUAUUAUGGUGUACUAAUCAACAUUAUUGAGUUGAACUACUCUGACAAUUAUCGAUAUGUACUAUUCAGAUGUCAAUGGGUUGACGUUAUUAGUGGGAGAUGAUGCAAAAAAGAUGAGUUUCGAUUUGCCCUUUUCAAUUUUUCACAAUUAAUACACACGGGUGAUCGAUUGAUUGACGAGCCUUAUGUAUUAGCAUCUCAAGCUUCACAAGUAUUUUACGUGAAAGAUCUGAUACAUAAAGAUUGGGUGGUUGUGGUCAAAACAAAACCUAAGGAGGUGUUUGAUGUUAGUAUUAAUGCUUCACAUGAUGAUGAUGAUGAAGUGGGUACCUAUCUUAAGAAUGUCCCUUAUAAUAUAACUAUUGAUGAUGCAUGUGAUGAUGCAAAUGACAACCAUGCUUGUGCUCGAGUUAAUGAAGAGGGAACCAUUUAUGAUACACCGUUGAUUAGUGAGGAUGAAUUGAACAAGACUUUAUCGAUGAUGAAGAGCUUAGCGAUGAUGAGUCCAAUGAUGAUGACUCCAAUGAUGAUGAGUCUAGUGAUGAUAAGUGUAGUUAAUACUUUUAUUAUCACUCAUUAUAUUUUUCCUUAAUGAUUAGAGUUUAAGAACCUCUCUUUGGUUAGUU
Molecule: long non-coding RNA, 3783 nt
Organism: Quercus robur (English oak)
Lineage: Eukaryota; Viridiplantae; Streptophyta; Magnoliopsida; Fagales; Fagaceae
Exons: 3
Source: RefSeq, a predicted model, not a curated record